AGCGGGUAGAUAGCGAUAGAUAGAUAGAGAGAUAGAGAGAGAGAGAUAGAUAGAGAGAUAGAUAGAUAUAUAGCGUACAGAUAGCAUACAGAUAGCAUACAGAUAGCGGUAGAGCAAAGUGAGAAGGCUAACGUUAACGUGAUGGCACUAUUUUACACUCGAUGUCUCCAAGACCUACCGAAGGUUAACAUCAGUGAUGUACAUCGGCUGGUAAAAGCGUCAAGCUCAGCCCCGAGGAGCAAAAGAGAAAAGGGGUUCAAGAUGUACAUAUCCAGUUACAUCGACAAUUAUGAAGGUAAGUGACAAACAAAGCUGUAGUUACUGCCUAACUUUGACAACUUGACAGUGUUGAUACAGUGUAAAGUGUUUUAAUGAUGUACUAUUACGUUUUUUUGGAUAACAUGAAUGAUGUCCAAUUCCCCACAGUUUCAAACAAAGAUCUACCUUCAGGGAGAGUGAGCAUCAGGGCUAGCUGUUACAGGUCCCUGAGAAAGCAUGAAAAGCCUCACGAUCUCAGAGUAGGGAGAAAAAUAAAAAGUGUUCAUCGGUUCAAAGCCUCAAUCAGGUUCAUGUUCUGGGGUUUUGAUGUAGCUAAAAUGACUGACAUUUUGUUUUACUGUGUAGAUUGUCUUUGAGAACUGCUCACCUGUGGAGAUUGCAGUGACAAAGUGUUCCUGUGUAGCUGGAACAGCACUCUGCAACCACAAUGUUGCACUGCUGUUCCAGACUGCACACUACUCCACACUCAACCUGGCUGCUGUACCCCCUGUCCUCAGCUGCACUGAAACAGAGCAGCGAUGGCACAAGCCAAGAACCAUGGGUGUGAAACCAGGCAGAGUGAGUGACAUGGUGUUCAUUUCCACUAAGCCAAAGCAGUUUACAGUUGCUGACGGGGUAAGGAGUACACGUUACAAGGCCGUGCGGGGGGAGCUGCCAGACCCAGAUGUCCUCAAAGUCUGCGAGGCAUACAAGGACUUCUCAGCAGACAUCGCACCAC
Long non-coding RNA from Gymnodraco acuticeps, 997 nucleotides. RefSeq lists it as uncharacterized. The record is from RefSeq and is a predicted model, not a curated record. The transcript is spliced from 3 exons. NCBI's taxonomy places the organism in Eukaryota, Metazoa, Chordata, Actinopteri, Perciformes, Bathydraconidae.